UAAAAUUGGAACGAUACAGAGAUAAGUAUGACCCCUGAGCAAGGAUGACACGCAAGAUAUAGUAAGUAAAACAAAUAUC
RNAcentral lists this small nuclear RNA (79 nucleotides) under Sorex araneus (European shrew). Lineage: Eukaryota; Metazoa; Chordata; Mammalia; Eulipotyphla; Soricidae. The record is from RNAcentral.